CACAGACUCACAGAAGGGCUGAGCCUGGACAGGACCUCUGGAGGUUAUUGGUCCAGCUCCUGAGCUCAAGCAGGGCCACCCAGAGCCACUUGCCCAGGACCCUGUCCAGGUGGCUUUUGAAUACCUCCAAGCUUGAGACUGUGUCCUCUCGUUCUGUCAGUUGCUGCCUGGUGGAAGAGACCGACCCCCACCUGACUACAACCACCUUUCAGGAAGUUGUAGAGAGCCUCUAAGCCUCCUCUUCUCCAGGCUAAACAACCCCAGCUCCUUCAAACAUUCCUCACAGGGCUUGUGUUCCAAGCCCCUCACCAACCUUGUUGCCCUCCUCUGGACGCGCUCAAGCAUCUCAACAGGAACAUGACCGGCAUGUGGCACACACCCUCCCUCUCCUUCCUUUACCACCCAGAGAGUAGGAAACUUUCUACAGGGAAAUUUCUACAAGAACCUUGACCUAAAAGUAAAGAAACACACUUAUCCCUGGUCUGUAGCCCGUUAUGGUCCUACAGGCAGCUGGAAGCUCUUCACAGCCAUGGAUGAAGGGAUCUCCACACUACCCACCAUCCUUGUACCCCAUCAGGAUCCUACAGGCCGAUGCAAGCUUCCCACAGCCAUGGAGAAAGGGAGCUCUGCACCAUGCACCAUCUCUGUGUGAGACUUACCUCAAAAUAAAUGUUGAGACUGAUGAAUUCA
Long non-coding RNA from Vidua chalybeata, 690 nucleotides. RefSeq lists it as uncharacterized. Lineage: Eukaryota; Metazoa; Chordata; Aves; Passeriformes; Viduidae. The transcript has 3 exons. The record is from RefSeq and is a predicted model, not a curated record.